GAGGGGAUAGCUCAGUGGCAGAGUCACGUGCUUAGCAUGCAUGAGGUCCUGGGUUCAAUCCCUAGUACCUCCA
RNAcentral lists this transfer RNA (73 nucleotides) under Camelus bactrianus (Bactrian camel). It matches the Rfam family "tRNA". From Rfam's summary of the family: Transfer RNA (tRNA) molecules are approximately 80 nucleotides in length. RNAcentral also lists the same sequence under 2 other names. The record is from Rfam by way of RNAcentral. Lineage: Eukaryota; Metazoa; Chordata; Mammalia; Artiodactyla; Camelidae.